This 468-nucleotide ribosomal RNA is filed under the name uncultured bacterium. Its description in RNAcentral is "partial 16S ribosomal RNA". It matches the Rfam family "Bacterial small subunit ribosomal RNA", at positions 28 to 507 of the family's 1533-position model. The record is from RNAcentral.
GAUGAACGCUGGCGGCGUGCUUAACACAUGCAAGUCGAACGGAAAGGCCCAAGCUUGCUUGGGUACUCGAGUGGCGAACGGGUGAGUAACACGUGGGUGAUCUGCCCUGCACUUCGGGAUAAGCCUGGGAAACUGGGUCUAAUACCGGAUAGGACCACUUCUUGGAUGUUGUGGUGGAAAGUUUUUUCGGUGUGGGAUGAGCUCGCGGCCUAUCAGCUUGUUGGUGGGGUAAUGGCCUACCAAGGCGUCGUCGGGUAGCCGGCCUGAGAGGGUGUACGGCGACAUUGGGAGUGAGAGACGGCCCAGACUCGUACGGGAGGCAGCAGUGGGGAAUAUUGCACAAUGGGCGCAAGCCUGAUGCAGCGACGCCGCGUGGGGGAUGACGGCCUUCGGGUUGUAAACUCCUUUCGCUAGGGACGAAGCGUUUUUGUGACGGUACCGGGAGAAGAAGCACCGGCUAACUACGUG